UUUAUUCUAUAAAACUCUGUGUUGGUCUGGAGAUACUGUGCCUCAGCUUUUGUGUUCAUUUUUCAAACAGUUUGUUAUCAUAGUUUUGGCAACACUUCCUGCUUUGUCUUUUAUUUUGACAUCAGACUUCCUGUUUUACCUUUCUCAACGUGGUUAGUUCUACCACCAAAGUUAAUAGCAUUGGCUUCACCUGUGUGUUCUUCAAACAGCCGUGCCUUCAUGCUACUCUGCUAGUUUGACUGCCUCAAAGCUCCAGCUCUGAUCACAAACCCGUAAACUGAUCUAUCUACUGGAUCUUCUGCUUUCCGGAUCUAUUUCCCUUUUGGAUUCUGCCAACAAGACCUCUGGAUUUGGUUCAGACCACGGACAAGGAUUUUGGAUUAUCAGAUGUAUUUCUUCUUCAUCCACUCCUGCCUUGGACAUCCUUCUCCGCUUUGCACCAUCAAAUUCUGCAGAAUUGUCCCCCAUUCUUCUCCACACACCCUUUUGAGUGUUUCCUGCCACCUGAAGCCCAUCCUCACUACCUUCACCAAGUUCUUCAAUCAAUCUAUUUCACUUUAUUAGGAUCUAUGAUUGGGCUUCACAAAGAACACAGGGGCCCCAGGUUCUCCAAUACCAGCUUAUGUCUGGAGUGGGAACACCGUAAGAGGUGCAUGUGAGCGUCUGGCUGCUGCCACU
This is a non-coding RNA of Oryzias latipes (Japanese medaka), 678 nucleotides long. NCBI's taxonomy places the organism in Eukaryota, Metazoa, Chordata, Actinopteri, Beloniformes, Adrianichthyidae. The record is from RefSeq and is a predicted model, not a curated record.